UCCGGCCCGUUUGGCAGUCAGGGCUACUGUAAACAUCCUUGACUGGAAGCUGGUGUUAGGUUUUUGGGCUUUCAGUCGGAUGUUUGCAGCAGCCAACUGCCCUUACCAUCUCAGGAAGGUUUCCACAUUCUAGUGCUAUCCGACUUUACAAACAGAGAUAUAAACCUGUAAACUCCUCAGACCUGAAUAAGAGAGCCAAGAGGAAGCGGGUGUAACACACACCAGAGGACCACAAGGAGACAAGGAAGGAAGGAAGCAUUUCAAGAUCACUUCCUCCUCCACCCCUACAUUUAUCAUCCUAUUAAUAAAAACAGGCUUGCUGCCUGAGUUGGGAAUUAAAUAUCAGCUGUGUUCAAGCCAUGAGUAUAAAACAUUCUGAUGAAACUAACAGAUUAAAACCGGUGAAAAAUUCCAGGCAUAAAUAGUUGAUUAAUCUGAGUUUAUAUGCUGAUAUUUACAAAGGAGGAGACUAAAAUUAAUUCUUCACAUCAUGGUUCAGGUUUUUAUCUAAUGUCGAUCUGAGAUCCAGGGAAUGUAAACACCCUACACUCUCGGCGUGCGCCUCCUGGUGGCCGGGAGUGGGACUGUUUGCACUGCUCGGCUCAGGAGCACAUCCCACAAAAACAAACUACAGCAUUUGUUAGUUUUUAUUCUUCUCAAGCUUAUAAUUACAUAAUUUGUCUGAACAGAUGAAUAUAAUGUACUUUCUGUUCAUUCUGGAAAUAAAAAUAUAUUGACUACGG
This is a long non-coding RNA of Gambusia affinis (western mosquitofish), 743 nucleotides long. RefSeq lists it as uncharacterized. Lineage: Eukaryota; Metazoa; Chordata; Actinopteri; Cyprinodontiformes; Poeciliidae. The record is from RefSeq and is a predicted model, not a curated record. The transcript has 2 exons.